Molecule: unclassified non-coding RNA, 136 nt
Filed under: Cystobasidium slooffiae
Lineage: Eukaryota; Fungi; Basidiomycota; Cystobasidiomycetes; Cystobasidiales; Cystobasidiaceae
Description: ITS 1
Source: RNAcentral
AUGAAUUUUAGGACGUUCUUUUUAGAAGUCCGACCCUUUCAUUUUCUUACACCGUGCACACACUUCUUUUUUACACACACUUUUAACACCUUAGUAUAAGAAUGUAAUAGUCUCUUAAUUGAGCAUAAAUAAAAAC